Molecule: small nuclear RNA, 107 nt
Filed under: Sorex araneus (European shrew)
Lineage: Eukaryota; Metazoa; Chordata; Mammalia; Eulipotyphla; Soricidae
Source: RNAcentral
GUGCUUGCUUCGGCAGCACAUAUAUUAAAACUGGAAUGAUACAGAGAAGAUUAGCAUGGCCCCUGAGCAAGGAUGACACGCAAAUUCGUGAAACGUUCCAAAUUUUU